GACGAACGCUGGCGGCGUGCUUAACACAUGCAAGUCGAACGGAAAGGCCCUGCUUUUGUGGGGUGCUCGAGUGGCGAACGGGUGAGUAACACGUGAGUAACCUGCCCUUGACUUUGGGAUAACUUCAGGAAACUGGGGCUAAUACCGGAUAGGAGCUCCUGCUGCAUGGUGGGGGUUGGAAAGUUUCGGCGGUUGGGGAUGGACUCGCGGCUUAUCAGCUUGUUGGUGGGGUAGUGGCUUACCAAGGCUUUGACGGGUAGCCGGCCUGAGAGGGUGACCGGCCACAUUGGGACUGAGAUACGGCCCAGACUCCUACGGGAGGCAGCAGUCGGGAAUAUUGCACAAUGGGCGGAAGCCUGAUGCAGCAACGCCGCGUGCGGGAUGACGGCCUUCGAGUUGUAAACCGCUUUCGCCUGUGACGAAGCGUGAGUGACGGUAAUGGGUAAAGAAGCACCGGCUAACUACGUG
Molecule: ribosomal RNA, 468 nt
Filed under: uncultured bacterium
Lineage: Bacteria
Description: partial 16S ribosomal RNA
Rfam family: Bacterial small subunit ribosomal RNA
Source: RNAcentral